UGCUCUCAGGAUCUUGCCACUGUUCUC
This 27-nucleotide non-coding RNA is filed under the name Mus musculus (house mouse). Lineage: Eukaryota; Metazoa; Chordata; Mammalia; Rodentia; Muridae. The record is from RNAcentral.